GACGGAGGAUGCAAGCGUUAUCCGGAAUGAUUGGGCGUAAAGCGUCCGCAGGUGGCUGUGUAAGUCUGCUGUCAAAGAGCGAAGCUCAACUUCGUAAAGGCAGUGGAAACUACACGGCUAGAGUGCGUUCGGGGCAGAGGGAAUUCCUGGUGUAGCGGUGAAAUGCGUAGAGAUCCGGAGGAACCCCAGAGGCGAAGGCGGCUCUCUAGUACGGUACUGACGCUGAGACGCGAAAGCGUGGGGAGCGAACAGG
This 253-nucleotide ribosomal RNA is filed under the name uncultured bacterium. RNAcentral describes it as "partial 16S ribosomal RNA". It matches the Rfam family "Bacterial small subunit ribosomal RNA", at positions 524 to 776 of the family's 1533-position model. The record is from RNAcentral.